This 676-nucleotide long non-coding RNA is filed under the name Eucalyptus grandis. RNAcentral describes it as "long non-coding RNA (EGRA_LNC002813)". The record is from RNAcentral. Lineage: Eukaryota; Viridiplantae; Streptophyta; Magnoliopsida; Myrtales; Myrtaceae.
CCAGACAAUAAAGCAAUGGGAUAGAAAAGCAGGCCAUACAUUUUUCUUACUGAAAAUUCACAACUACAUCUUUUUACAUGCAAACAAGGUCUGACAAGACAGGAUAGGAUUUCGGUCCUCAUCCGGGUCGUACUCGAUGUCAUACUCGGGGUCCUCCUCCACGUACUCCUCUUUGGGUUCCUCAACAGGGAUCUCCUCAUCAAAUUCAUGCUCCUUAGGCUCCUCAUCCAGGUCUUGAAAUGGUUAUUCAAUAACCACUGAGACCACGUCUCAGCAAGUUCUACUUCCUAAGACCCGAUUAGUAAACUAAUACACCUUAGGGCUGCCUAUGCACAACAUGAAUUAGAAGACUUACCUUAGCCUCAGAUUCCACCUGCAUAUUAGUACAGAUCAAAUAGGCACACAAGCAAUCACAUCACAGAUCGAAGCAUCGAUCUAAUCGACUUAGUCGAUUUCACAUCAGGAAGACCAAUCACGAUCAUCUCCCUUCAAUCAUUCAAUUCAACACAUCAAACCAAGGCAAUGAAUCACAUCAAGACACACUCAGAUCGAAUCAUCGAUCAAUCGACCUAGUCGAUUUCAAGCCAGUCGAAUCAUUUCUAGGUCAUUCAUCCCACAUCAAGCAAUUCCUUGGAUUUAGUGGAUUUACGGUCCCACCCGACCCUCUCGAGAACUA